This 248-nucleotide unclassified non-coding RNA is filed under the name uncultured fungus. Its description in RNAcentral is "sequence contains ITS2". Lineage: Eukaryota; Fungi. The record is from RNAcentral.
AACGCACCUUGCACCCAGUGCGCAAGCUCUGGGUAUGCCUGUUUGAGAAUCGCAAACAUCCUCAACCUUGGUCUAGGUUGGACGUGGCCUCUGUCAGAGGCUGGAAUUGAGAAGGCGAGGCCCAUAGGUUAGCUAGCUUCAUAGUGUGCCAGAGCGUCACUGUGGCUAGCGACCCGUUGGGGCACCAAGCCUCUUAUUAUUACUCUAUUAUUGAUCUCAAAUCAGGCAAGGCUACCCGCUGAACUUAA